Molecule: long non-coding RNA, 701 nt
Organism: Entelurus aequoreus (snake pipefish)
Lineage: Eukaryota; Metazoa; Chordata; Actinopteri; Syngnathiformes; Syngnathidae
Exons: 3
Source: RefSeq, a predicted model, not a curated record
GAUAAAUCACCGCAGACGGUGAGCGCAAACCGCUGGAUGUUUACGUCUGGUCCUUACUACAGCCAAUCAGCGCUGAAGGCCUUCCUCAGCCCCAACACAUAAGAGGUCGCUCUCUGUCUUUCUGCGUGUUGAAAAACACUGAUGUAGACCACAAGGAAACGUGUCAAAUGGAGAUUAGGAUCAUCAUAGGUCCCCAGAUGAACACAAGAAUGGAGGGACUGCCCAUGCUUUUGGUGCACAAAAAGCAACCCCCAGGACGAUUCCGCUUCCAUUUCUCCCCCCACUGGAGGAAGAGAGCUGACAACUUGGAGGGCUGGCUCUCCGAGACAAAGAAGAGCUGAAUCAAUGCAGCAAAGACGGGGGAGAUUCCGUUUGAAAAGCUAUUUUUUUCCACCCCCUGGUGUGCACUGACUGGAGAGGUGAAGUGUGGUAAACAGCUCCAGAUCUUUUCUGAUUCAGGCUAGAGUGGCAGCACUAGCUCAAGGCUUAAAGCAGCAAAAGAGGACAAAGUAGAAGGGAAAAAAAGAGCAUGUCACCCCAAUACAAUUACGGCUUGUAAUGAACGCAGCAGAGAUGCUCAGUGCUGUGGUAAUUGGGAAAUUUGCUGUAAUUACUCGACAGGCAAAGAGCUUCCACUUCUCUCAGAUGGAGAUGAUCCUCACUGUGCCUUGUUAAUGACAACCGCUCAUAAGCCAGACUGA